This 419-nucleotide ribosomal RNA is filed under the name bacterium. Its description in RNAcentral is "partial 16S ribosomal RNA". It matches the Rfam family "Bacterial small subunit ribosomal RNA", at positions 355 to 776 of the family's 1533-position model. The record is from RNAcentral.
UGGGGGAUAUUGCACAAUGGGCGAAAGCCUGAUGCAGCGACGCCGCGUGGGGGAUGAAGGCCUUCGGGUUGUAAACUUCUUUUGCUCUGAACAAGGCGCACCAUGGGGUGUGUUGAGUGUAGGGGUUGAUUAGCGCCGGCUAACUACGUGCCAGCAGCCGCGGUAAUACGUAGGGCGCGAGCGUUGUCCGGAAUUAUUGGGCGUAAAGGGCGUGUAGGUGGCUGGUUGCGUCUGUCGUGAAAGCUCAUGGCUUAACUGUGGGUUUGCGGUGGGGACGGGCCGGCUUGAGUGCAGUAGGGGAGGCUGGGAUUCCUGGUGUAGCGGUGGAAUGCGCAGAUAUCAGGAGGAAUACCGGUGGCGAAGGCGGGUCUCUGGGCUGUUACUGACACUGAGGAGCGAAAGGAUGGGGAGCGAAAAGG